This 70-nucleotide transfer RNA is filed under the name Marmota monax (woodchuck). Its description in RNAcentral is "tRNA.Ala". The record is from RNAcentral. Lineage: Eukaryota; Metazoa; Chordata; Mammalia; Rodentia; Sciuridae.
GGGCUGGGGCUCAGUGGCAGAGCGCCCGCCUUGCACAUGUGAGGCACUGGGUUCAAUCCUCAGCAUCACA